Salmo salar (Atlantic salmon) is the source of this 224-nucleotide non-coding RNA. NCBI's taxonomy places the organism in Eukaryota, Metazoa, Chordata, Actinopteri, Salmoniformes, Salmonidae. The record is from RefSeq and is a predicted model, not a curated record.
GUUGCUGGGUGAGGGGGGCUCUGGGUAGGGGCAGGUAGGUAGUUACCUGAGUUGCUGGGUGAGGGGGGCUCUGGGUAGGGGCAGGUAGGUAGUUACCUGAGUUGCUGGGUGAGGGGGGCUCUGGGUAGGGGCAGGUAGGUAGUUACCUGAGUUGCUGGGUGAGGGGGGCUCUGGGUAGGGGCAGGUAGGUAGUUACCUGAGUUGCUGGGUGAGGGGGGCUCUGG